RNAcentral lists this unclassified non-coding RNA (394 nucleotides) under rhizosphere metagenome. RNAcentral's name for it is "partial ribosomal RNA internal transcribed spacer region". The record is from RNAcentral.
GUAUGUGAACCUGCGGAAGGAUCAUUAACACGUUCCAUAGCCUAAUCAACCAACCUGUGAACUUGUAUCUGGCUGUGUGUAUAGAUAUAUACUUCGUAUAUAUGUAUAUCAUUUCAGCCCCAACUCCAUUAAUCAUAUGGAGCUGUCAUAUUGUUGAGAACACAUCUGUAUUCCCUCUUAUGAUUAGUUCUCCAUAUAAUUUAAUGGUAUUUUUUUAUUCACGCCCUAGUUUUUCAUUCUCUAACAGGAAUGGACUAACGAAUUGAUCAAUAUCAACUUUGCUCAUAUAUAGAUUUGAAGUGUCGACCAGCUCUAGUAGCCCGACUGCUAUAUAUGGUGCCAAAAUAUACAUAAAAUAAGAGAACAACUCUUAGCAAUGGAUAUCUUGGUUCUC